Molecule: ribosomal RNA, 229 nt
Filed under: uncultured bacterium
Lineage: Bacteria
Description: partial 16S ribosomal RNA
Rfam family: Bacterial small subunit ribosomal RNA
Source: RNAcentral
UCCGUAGGCGGGCAAUUAAGUCAGAGGUGAAAUCCCACAGCUCAACUGUGGAACUGCCUUUGAUACUGGUUGUCUUGAGUUACAGUGAAGUAGAUAGAAUAUGUAGUGUAGCGGUGAAAUGCAUAGAUAUUACAUAGAAUACCAAUUGCGAAGGCAGUCUACUAACUGUAUACUGACGCUAAUGGACGAAAGCGUGGGGAGCGAACAGGAUUAGAUACCCUGGUAGUCC